AGAGUUUGAUCCUGGCUCAGAGCGAACGUUAGCGGCGCGCCUAACACAUGCAAGUCGCACGAGAGGGGGGCAACCCCCGAAAGUGGCGCACGGGUGCGUAACACGUAGAUAACCUGCCCUUCGCAGGGGGAUAACGUUCCGAAAGGAGCGCUAAUACCGCGUACAGCAUUCUGGGGUUAGCUUCGGGAUGACAAAGGCUGGGAUUCGCAAGAACCAGUCGGCGAAGGAGGGGUCUGCGGCCCAUCAGCUAGUUGGUGAGGUAAUGGCUCACCAAGGCAAAGACGGGUAGCUGGUCUGAGAGGAUGAUCAGCCACACUGGUACUGGAACACGGACCAGACUCCUACGGGAGGCAGCAGUGGGGAAUCUUGGUCAAUGGGCGAAAGCCUGAACCAGCGACGCCGCGUGAGUGAUGAAGGCCUUCGGGUUGUAAAGCUCUGUGGGGCGAGACGAAAGCCUACGUUCUAACAGGACGUAGUUUGACGGUAUCGCCUUAGCAAGCACCGGCUAACUCUGUGCCAGCAGCCGCGGUAAGACAGAGGGUGCAAACGUUGCUCGGAAUCACUGGGCGUAAAGGGCGUGUAGGCGGGAAGGAAAGUCAGAUGUGAAAUCCCUGGGCUCAACCCAGGAACUGCAUUUGAAACUCCCUUUCUUGAGUGUCGGAGAGGAAAGGAAUUCCUGGUGUAGAGGUGAAAUUCGUAGAUAUCAGGAGGAACACCGGUGGCGAAGGCGGCUUUCUGGACGACAACUGACGCUGAGACGCGAAAGCGUGGGGAGCAAACAGGAUUAGAUACCCUAGUAGUCC
Molecule: ribosomal RNA, 803 nt
Filed under: uncultured bacterium
Lineage: Bacteria
Description: bacterial SSU rRNA
Rfam family: Bacterial small subunit ribosomal RNA
Source: RNAcentral